GGUUAAGCGACUAAGCGUACACGGUGGAUGCCCUGGCAGUCAGAGGCGAUGAAGGACGUGCUAAUCUGCGAUAAGCGUCGGUAAGGUGAUAUGAACCGUUAUAACCGGCGAUUUCCGAAUGGGGAAACCCAGUGUGUUUCGACACACUAUCAUUAACUGAAUCCAUAGGUUAAUGAGGCGAACCGGGGGAACUGAAACAUCUAAGUACCCCGAGGAAAAGAAAUCAACCGAGAUUCCCCCAGUAGCGGCGAGCGAACGGGGAGCAGCCCAGAGCCUGAAUCAGUGUGUGUGUUAGUGGAAGCGUCUGGAAAGGCGCGCGAUACAGGGUGACAGCCCCGUACACAAAAAUGCACAUGCUGUGAGCUCGAUGAGUAGGGCGGGACACGUGGUAUCCUGUCUGAAUAUGGGGGGACCAUCCUCCAAGGCUAAAUACUCCUGACUGACCGAUAGUGAACCAGUACCGUGAGGGAAAGGCGAAAAGAACCCCGGCGAGGGGAGUGAAAAAGAACCUGAAACCGUGUACGUACAAGCAGUGGGAGCACAGAGCAAUCUGUGUGACUGCGUACCUUUUGUAUAAUGGGUCAGCGACUUAUAUUCUGUAGCAAGGUUAACCGAAUAGGGGAGCCGAAGGGAAACCGAGUCUUAACUGGGCGUUAAGUUGCAGGGUAUAGACCCGAAACCCGGUGAUCUAGCCAUGGGCAGGUUGAAGGUUGGGUAACACUAACUGGAGGACCGAACCGACUAAUGUUGAAAAAUUAGCGGAUGACUUGUGGCUGGGGGUGAAAGGCCAAUCAAACCGGGAGAUAGCUGGUUCUCCCCGAAAGCUAUUUAGGUAGCGCCUCGUGAAUUCAUCUCCGGGGGUAGAGCACUGUUUCGGCAAGGGGGUCAUCCCGACUUACCAACCCGAUGCAAACUGCGAAUACCGGAGAAUGUUAUCACGGGAGACACACGGCGGGUGCUAACGUCCGUCGUGAAGAGGGAAACAACCCAGACCGCCAGCUAAGGUCCCAAAGUCAUGGUUAAGUGGGAAACGAUGUGGGAAGGCCCAGACAGCCAGGAUGUUGGCUUAGAAGCAGCCAUCAUUUAAAGAAAGCGUAAUAGCUCACUGGUCGAGUCGGCCUGCGCGGAAGAUGUAACGGGGCUAAACCAUGCACCGAAGCUGCGGCAGCGACGCUGAUGCGUUGUUGGGUAGGGGAGCGUUCUGUAAGCCUGCGAAGGUGUGCUGUGAGGCAUGCUGGAGGUAUCAGAAGUGCGAAUGCUGACAUAAGUAACGAUAAAGCGGGUGAAAAGCCCGCUCGCCGGAAGACCAAGGGUUCCUGUCCAACGUUAAUCGGGGCAGGGUGAGUCGACCCCUAAGGCGAGGCCGAAAGGCGUAGUCGAUGGGAAACAGGUUAAUAUUCCUGUACUUGGUGUUACUGCGAAGGGGGGACGGAGAAGGCUAUGUUGGCCGGGCGACGGUUGUCCCGGUUUAAGCGGGUAGGCUGGUUUUCCAGGCAAAUCCGGAAAAUCAAGGCUGAGGCGUGAUGACGAGGCACUACGGUGCUGAAGCAACAAAUGCCCUGCUUCCAGGAAAAGCCUCUAAGCAUCAGGUAACAUCAAAUCGUACCCCAAACCGACACAGGUGGUCAGGUAGAGAAUACCAAGGCGCUUGAGAGAACUCGGGUGAAGGAACUAGGCAAAAUGGUGCCGUAACUUCGGGAGAAGGCACGCUGAUAUGUAGGUGAAGCGACUUGCUCGUGGAGCUGAAAUCAGUCGAAGAUACCAGCUGGCUGCAACUGUUUAUUAAAAACACAGCACUGUGCAAACACGAAAGUGGACGUAUACGGUGUGACGCCUGCCCGGUGCCGGAAGGUUAAUUGAUGGGGUCAGCGCAAGCGAAGCUCUUGAUCGAAGCCCCGGUAAACGGCGGCCGUAACUAUAACGGUCCUAAGGUAGCGAAAUUCCUUGUCGGGUAAGUUCCGACCUGCACGAAUGGCGUAAUGAUGGCCAGGCUGUCUCCACCCGAGACUCAGUGAAAUUGAACUCGCUGUGAAGAUGCAGUGUACCCGCGGCAAGACGGAAAGACCCCGUGAACCUUUACUAUAGCUUGACACUGAACAUUGAGCCUUGAUGUGUAGGAUAGGUGGGAGGCUUUGAAGUGUGGACGCCAGUCUGCAUGGAGCCGACCUUGAAAUACCACCCUUUAAUGUUUGAUGUUCUAACGUUGACCCGUAAUCCGGGUUGCGGACAGUGUCUGGUGGGUAGUUUGACUGGGGCGGUCUCCUCCUAAAGAGUAACGGAGGAGCACGAAGGUUGGCUAAUCCUGGUCGGACAUCAGGAGGUUAGUGCAAUGGCAUAAGCCAGCUUGACUGCGAGCGUGACGGCGCGAGCAGGUGCGAAAGCAGGUCAUAGUGAUCCGGUGGUUCUGAAUGGAAGGGCCAUCGCUCAACGGAUAAAAGGUACUCCGGGGAUAACAGGCUGAUACCGCCCAAGAGUUCAUAUCGACGGCGGUGUUUGGCACCUCGAUGUCGGCUCAUCACAUCCUGGGGCUGAAGUAGGUCCCAAGGGUAUGGCUGUUCGCCAUUUAAAGUGGUACGCGAGCUGGGUUUAGAACGUCGUGAGACAGUUCGGUCCCUAUCUGCCGUGGGCGCUGGAGAACUGAGGGGGGCUGCUCCUAGUACGAGAGGACCGGAGUGGACGCAUCACUGGUGUUCGGGUUGUCAUGCCAAUGGCACUGCCCGGUAGCUAAAUGCGGAAGAGAUAAGUGCUGAAAGCAUCUAAGCACGAAACUUGCCCCGAGAUGAGUUCUCCCUGACUCCUUGAGAGUCCUGAAGGAACGUUGAAGACGACGACGUUGAUAGGCCGGGUGUGUAAGCGCAGCGAUGCGUUGAGCUAACCGGUACUAAUGAACCGUGAGGCUUAACCUU
RNAcentral lists this ribosomal RNA (2906 nucleotides) under Escherichia coli. RNAcentral's name for it is "23S ribosomal RNA". It matches the Rfam family "Bacterial large subunit ribosomal RNA". Lineage: Bacteria; Pseudomonadati; Pseudomonadota; Gammaproteobacteria; Enterobacterales; Enterobacteriaceae. The record is from RNAcentral.